RNAcentral lists this ribosomal RNA (465 nucleotides) under Vreelandella stevensii. Its description in RNAcentral is "partial 16S ribosomal RNA". It matches the Rfam family "Bacterial small subunit ribosomal RNA", at positions 338 to 795 of the family's 1533-position model. Lineage: Bacteria; Pseudomonadati; Pseudomonadota; Gammaproteobacteria; Oceanospirillales; Halomonadaceae. The record is from RNAcentral.
CCUACGGGGCGCUGCAGUGGGGAAUAUUGGACAAUGGGGGGAACCCUGAUCCAGCCAUGCCGCGUGUGUGAAGAAGGCCCUCGGGUUGUAAAGCACUUUCAGUGAGGAAGAACGCCUGGUGGUUAAUACCCAUCAGGAAAGACAUCACUCACAGAAGAAGCACCGGCUAACUCCGUGCCAGCAGCCGCGGUAAUACGGAGGGUGCGAGCGUUAAUCGGAAUUACUGGGCGUAAAGCGCGCGUAGGUGGCUUGAUAAGCCGGUUGUGAAAGCCCCGGGCUCAACCUGGGAACGGCAUCCGGAACUGUCAAGCUAGAGUGCAGGAGAGGAAGGUAGAAUUCCCGGUGUAGCGGUGAAAUGCGUAGAGAUCGGGAGGAAUACCAGUGGCGAAGGCGGCCUUCUGGACUGACACUGCCACUGAGGUGCGAAAGCGUGGGUAGCAAACAGGAUUAGAUACCCGAGUAGUC